This 433-nucleotide ribosomal RNA is filed under the name uncultured archaeon. Its description in RNAcentral is "bacterial SSU rRNA". It matches the Rfam family "Archaeal small subunit ribosomal RNA", at positions 19 to 458 of the family's 1478-position model. The record is from RNAcentral.
GGACCCAACUGCUAUCAAAGUGGGACUCCUUAUGCGAGUCAACUUACCAAUAUGUGGAAUACGGCUCAUUAACACGUACUCAACAUGCCCAGGGGAACGUGAAUACCCUCAGGGAAACUGAGGAUAAACCGCGAUAAGUCACUGCUUCUGGAAUGGGAAGUGACUUAAAUCUAUAGGGCCCCUGAAUUGAACUGCGGCCAAUCAGGCUGUUGGUGAGGUAAGGGCCCACCAAACCUGUAACCGGAACGGGCUCUGAAAGGAGGAGCCCGGAAAUGGGCACUGAAACAAGGGCCCAGGCCCUAUGGGGCGCAGCAGGCGCAAAACCUCUGCAAUAGGCAAAAGCCUGACAGGGUUACUCUGAGUGAUUUCCGUUAAGGAAAUCUUUUGGCACCUCUAAAAAUGGUGCAAAAUAAGGGGUGGGCAAGUCGGGUGU